UUGGGAAUAUUGCACAAUUGGCGCAAGCCUGAUGCAGCCAUGCCGCGUGUGUGAAGAAGGCCUUCGGGUUGUAAAGCACUUUCAGCGGGGAGGAAGGCGAUAAGGUUAAUAACCUUGUCGAUUGACGUUACCCGCAGAAGAAGCACCGGCUAACUCCGUGCCAGCAGCCGCGGUAAUACGGAGGGUGCAAGCGUUAAUCGGAAUUACUGGGCGUAAAGCGCACGCAGGCGGUCUGUCAAGUCGGAUGUGAAAUCCCCGGGCUCAACCUGGGAACUGCAUUCGAAACUGGCAGGGUAGAGUCUUGUAGAGGGGGGUAGAAUUCCAGGUGUAGCGGUGAAAUGCGUAGAGAUCUGGAGGAAUACCGGUGGCGAAGGCGGCCCCCUGGACAAAGACUGACGCUCAGGUGCGAAAGCGUGGGGAGCAAACAGG
Molecule: ribosomal RNA, 429 nt
Filed under: Chloroflexota bacterium
Lineage: Bacteria; Bacillati; Chloroflexota
Description: Chloroflexi bacterium partial 16S ribosomal RNA
Rfam family: Bacterial small subunit ribosomal RNA
Source: RNAcentral